This 252-nucleotide unclassified non-coding RNA is filed under the name plant metagenome. RNAcentral's name for it is "partial contains small subunit ribosomal RNA and internal transcribed spacer 1". The stretch from base 1 to 46 matches the Rfam family "Eukaryotic small subunit ribosomal RNA", at positions 1786 to 1831 of the family's 1831-position model. The record is from RNAcentral.
GAGUCGUAACAAGGUUUCCGUAGGUGAACCUGCGGAAGGAUCAUUACAGUAUUCUUUUGCCAGCGCUUAAUUGCGCGGCGAAAAACCUUACACACUUAUGUUUUUUUAAUUUGAAACUAUUGCUUUGGUCUGGCUUAGAAAUAGGUUGGGCCAAAGGUUUUAUUACCAAACUUCAAUAUUUAUAUUGAAUUUGUUAUUUUAAUUUUUUUGGUACAAUUUUGUUAGAUUAAAAUUUCAAAAAAUUCUUCAAAA